UACGUAGGUGGCAAGCGUUGUCCGGAUUUAUUGGGUUUAAAGGGUGCGUAGGCGGCCUAUUAAGUCAGUGCUGAAAUACUUCGGCUUAACCGGAGAGGUGGCAUUGAUACUGAUGGGCUUGAGUACAGAUGAGGUAGGCGGAAUUGACGGUGUAGCGGUGAAAUGCUUAGAUAUCGUCAAGAACACCUAUAGCGAAGGCAGCUUACUAGGCUGUAACUGACGCUGAGGCACGAAAGUGUGGGGAUCAAACAGG
Molecule: ribosomal RNA, 253 nt
Filed under: uncultured bacterium
Lineage: Bacteria
Also listed under: 1 other name
Description: partial 16S ribosomal RNA
Rfam family: Bacterial small subunit ribosomal RNA
Source: RNAcentral